This is a long non-coding RNA of Petromyzon marinus (sea lamprey), 2137 nucleotides long. RefSeq lists it as uncharacterized. The record is from RefSeq and is a predicted model, not a curated record. Lineage: Eukaryota; Metazoa; Chordata; Hyperoartia; Petromyzontiformes; Petromyzontidae.
CUCAACGAAGUGGCUUUUCAUCACGUGGACGUUUAUGGCGGCAGCCGAAUACUCUGAACGCGUGUUGCCUAUUCUAAAUGUGGAGGGAUGCGGUGCUGCGGUGCUGCCAGACGCGUCUCUGCGUGCCUUAGGGGUGUCAUCUAUUCAUCGGCGAAGACCCAUUCUUCGCACACCUAUUCAAUUUGCUGUUUGACGAUGCUCUAAAAUUAUGUUAAUGCGUGUGGAUGGAGCGGUGGAUUGAGCAAGUAUUUUACACCAGUCUGCUGUCAACCUAUUCGGUAUGGCAGGCCCCCCCACCCCGCCAAUCAAGACCACUGGUUUCAAAGCAAUGGCUCAAGACCUUCUCGCAGACUGAAUGUGAACAUCAACGCGCUACGACACUUCGCUCAAUACCGCGUUGAGCUGCUUCAUCGCCAAGUUACCGCGGCAGCAUUUGCUGGAGGCGCGGCGCACUGAGUGACAGCUUGGGGUCACGCUCGGGAUCAGGCAGAGACAGCUGCUUUGCUUCAGACUGCAUGUGGGGGACAGCCUGGUUGGGGAGGAGGGUUCACUGGGGUCACAUCUGCAGAGACGACUGCCUCCCUCCGCUCUCACGUCAACUUCGUUAUCUGCGAGCCCAUCCAAUUCCACCCACGCACGCGGGAAAGAUCCCCAGCGCGCACGUGCGGAUGCAGUCGCAGCGACGCUGCUUGUUUGCUACGUACGAUGCGAAAGAAGUUCCAACACGCACACACACAGUGAGCGUCUACUAGGAGCCAACACGGCACGCGAGGGUGAUGUGGCUGGAACUCAAAACCAUGCACGACCACCUUUGUCUCCCCAGGUGGUGUUCAUGCCUAUAAACAGCACACGGUAUUUGAAACUGAAGCUGAGCAGACCCAAUUAAAAACGAUCUCCGAUGAGGAUGGCGUCUUGGUGUCAUAGUUUAGCACACUGGACCUGCAAUGCAGAGGUUUCUGGUUUGAUCUGAAUCAAUGGGUACGUUUCUUAAACUUCCCCACCCCUCUCCAUGUCGUGUGGUAGAAUGUGGGUACAAGUACCCAUUUCUUCCAAGACCUCUGAUCAACAUUGUCGACCAAAAACCCUCUAGAAGGCUUCUCUCUAUUGCGAGGCCCUUCUGCCAGCAGUGGUGUGAGCAAGACAUUGCAGGGCUGCGCCUUUAACCAAUAUUGUUUUUUUUCUUCUAAGCAGAUGGUGUGCGUGGUCAGGAUAUUAAUCCAGGUCACCAAGAUUGUAGCAGCGUCUGCGAGAGACAUCGCACAGCCACUCAUCACAGAGGUCUGACGCAUUCACCACCACUGGUGGGGGGUGACGCCGGUUCAUUCGGUGGGCUCGUCAUGUCACGCAAUAGCCAGUGGAAGGAGGGUGCGCAUGGGAGAGAGAAACCACAGAUGCAGCGGGCUUGAUGGAGAGGGAAGCAGCGUGGGGGCAUUCGGAGGGAAACGGGAAGAGCGAGUGUUGAUGAACGAGGCGGAUGGAUGAGCAAGCGAGGCAGAGGCGACGACUGCCAUCGCCUCCUAUCCCAGCAUCUGCAGCAGCGGGCGCUCGCCGUAAACUUUGCUGGAAUUAUUGGGUAAACAGCUCGGACGUUAAGAAUAAAGCACAAUACAUUGUGGACGUAAACAAAAAGGGAAAGUUGCGAUAGAUGGAGCGUUUGAGCAGGACGGGGGUGGGUAGCAGAACAGGCAUUGGAGUCGCACCCUGAGGAUGCUGACCAAGAAGAAGUCUUAAUGCAAGGGAGUGGUGGCAAUGAAACUAAGCUUAGACCUCGGAGGAAAAGUCUCUGAAGUGAAACAGCUGCCGGACCUCGCAAAAGGUUGGAAUCGACUUCAAAGUGCUGGCAUCAACAGCACUGGAUGUGAAGACCCCUUUAUAACCGUGAAGAGCUCUUCCUAUGUUCGCUUGUCAAUCAUAGGCAACACCAAUGACGCUGGCGUUGAUAUAGCUGCAGAGGAAGCUCUCAAAAUGAAUCCUGUCUUGCUCGAGCGGAUGUCUGUGCACCAGAGUGUACGCAUGCAUGAGAAAAAAAAUCUCAUUUCAUGUUACAUCACAAAGCAAUUUCCUUACUUGCACAAGUUUAUGUACAGAAAUAUUGCAAACAUAUCUGUAAAACUAAAUGGUAAACCACAUAAAAAAA